Molecule: ribosomal RNA, 254 nt
Filed under: uncultured bacterium
Lineage: Bacteria
Description: partial 16S ribosomal RNA
Rfam family: Bacterial small subunit ribosomal RNA
Source: RNAcentral
UACAGAGGGUGCGAGCGUUAAUCGGAAUUACUGGGCGUAAAGCGUGCGUAGACGGUUAUUUAAGUCGGAUGUGAAACCUCCAGGCUCAACCUGGAGUCGCCAUCCGAUACUGCCAUGGCUAGAGUCCGGUAGGGGCCCACGGAAUUCCUGGUGUAGCGGUGAAAUGCGCAGAUAUCAGGAGGAACACCGAUGGCGAAGGCAGUGGGCUGGGCCGGCACUGACGCUGAGGAGCGAAAGCGUGGGGAGCGAACAGG